This 430-nucleotide ribosomal RNA is filed under the name Pipa aspera group sp. ABGD cluster 10. Its description in RNAcentral is "partial large subunit ribosomal RNA". It matches the Rfam family "Archaeal large subunit ribosomal RNA", at positions 1914 to 2490 of the family's 2987-position model. Lineage: Eukaryota; Metazoa; Chordata; Amphibia; Anura; Pipidae. The record is from RNAcentral.
CUUGCCAAAACACAAGUACAAGAGGCCCAGCCUGCCCAGUGACACAUGUUCAACGGCCGCGGUAUUCUGACCGUGCAAAGGUAGCGUAAUCACUUGUCUUUUAAAUAAAGACUAGUAUGAAAGGCACCACGAAGGUUCAACUGUCUCCCCCAUCCAGUCAGUGAAACUGAUCUCCCCGUGCAAAAGCAGGGAUAAACACACAAGACGAGAAGACCCUGUGGAGCUUAAGACACCAGGCAACUGCUUUUAAACCACAACCAAAAGGUAAAACCAUUAACCAAGCAAACAUGACCAAAUGUUUUCGGUUGGGGCGACCACGGAGAAUAAAAAAUCCUCCGAGAAGAAGAGGACUACGUCCUAAGUCACGAACAACAACUCCAAACAUCAGAACCUCUGACCACCUUUGACCCAGUCAAACUGAUCAACGAAC